Molecule: ribosomal RNA, 427 nt
Filed under: uncultured bacterium
Lineage: Bacteria
Description: bacterial SSU rRNA
Rfam family: Bacterial small subunit ribosomal RNA
Source: RNAcentral
UGGGGAAUUUUGGACAAUGGGGGCAACCCUGAUCCAGCCAUCCCGCGUGUGCGAUGAAGGCCUUCGGGUUGUAAAGCACUUUUGGCAGGGAAGAAACAGCCUGGGCUAAUAUCCCGGGCGACUGACGGUACCUGCAGAAUAAGCACCGGCUAACUACGUGCCAGCAGCCGCGGUAAUACGUAGGGUGCAAGCGUUCAUCGGAAUUCCUGGGCGUAAAGCGUGCGCAGGCGGUUCGGAAAGAAAGGUGUGAAAUCCCAGGGCUUAACCUUGGAACUGCACUUUUAACUACCGGGCUAGAGUACGUCAGAGGGUGGUAGAAUUCCACGUGUAGCAGUGAAAUGCGUAGAGAUGUGGAGGAAUACCGAUGGCGAAGGCAGCCCCCUGGGAUGAUACUGACGCUCACGCACGAAAGCGUGGGGAGCAAACA